Molecule: long non-coding RNA, 978 nt
Organism: Trifolium pratense (red clover)
Lineage: Eukaryota; Viridiplantae; Streptophyta; Magnoliopsida; Fabales; Fabaceae
Exons: 4
Source: RefSeq, a predicted model, not a curated record
AAUUUUCAAAGCUCCCAAUCUCAAUCCCACGAUCUUCAAACCACUUCCAGCAAACAUUGAACUCAAACCCUAGAAACAAAAUCAAUCUUCUUCUAGCUUCAAACCUAAAGGAAUCGAACUUCGAUAAAAUUCGUUCCUCUGUAAUCAAACUCAGAGCAAUCGAAACUCAAAGAUGUUGUUUUCCAAGAGCAAUCGUUUCCCAUUAAUCGUUGGUCUUCUCCAAUCACACUCGUCAAUCCUAAUAUCCAAGAACCUAGAAACCACCGUGAACCCUAUCCCAUAAUCCAUAAAUUAUCUUCUAUCCAAGAACCUCAAUCCAAUAACCCACCGAUUUAACUGUCGGAAGUCGUACUCGUUCAUCCCCGUGCUCUUACAACUCAAACUGCCAUCAUUAAGGUUUUUCUUUCAUAGGUGUGGUUUUGUGCAUUCAUUUUUCAAUAUGGUACAUAACUUAUCAACACUGCACAUCAAGAGUACUACUAGUACAACUAUGUGAGGUGACUCAUUAUACAUAAUCUCAAGGAAGAGGGUUUAUUGAAGGACCUCAAUUCACAAGAAGGUGACAAUGAAGAUGUAAAGAGUUACGGUGUUGGGGACUUUCAUCACUGAAUGGGGUGAGGGAAAGGCUAACUGUGAUAUACUGCUUUCAACAAAGGAGUCUGCACGAAUGUAUGCAGAAUGUCUGCCAGAGCUUGCUGUUCAUUUAGGCUUCGAUGGGUGGCUAGUAUAUAUUUCAUCAUCUCUCUGUGCAUUUUUGCUGCAAGUUUUUUAUUUUUAUUUUGUUGUAAUGUCCUAUAUUGUUUAUGAGAUUUGCAACUAGUUUUUUGAUCAAUAUAUGUUUUGGCCAUUUAGUCUUUUAUAAUUCUAGUGUUAUAGUCCGGUCCAUAUGUAGUCUUUCUUUGUAUAUGUUUUGGCCACUUAGUUUUAUGUGAUUCUAGUGUCAAUGUUAGUGACUGGAUUGUGUUGUAACAAAUGGAU